AAGAAUGGGUCUUUUAAGCAUCUACCAUCUAAUACAAAAUCUGCUGUGGCCUCAGUUUAUCAAAUGAACAAAUAAUUAUAUUGAACGUAGAGAAAUAGAGAACAUAUAAAAGAGUUCAUCCUGGCUUACACUGAUAACUGGAACAUCAUUGUGUCAUGAAUUGGUCAAAUAUGUCAGACAAGGAUUUCUUGGACAGAGAGAUGUUGAUUAACAAG
This 215-nucleotide unclassified non-coding RNA is filed under the name Hevea brasiliensis (rubber tree). Lineage: Eukaryota; Viridiplantae; Streptophyta; Magnoliopsida; Malpighiales; Euphorbiaceae. The record is from RNAcentral.